This 253-nucleotide ribosomal RNA is filed under the name uncultured bacterium. Its description in RNAcentral is "partial 16S ribosomal RNA". It matches the Rfam family "Bacterial small subunit ribosomal RNA", at positions 524 to 776 of the family's 1533-position model. The record is from RNAcentral.
UACGUAGGUGGCAAGCGUUGUCCGGAAUUAUUGGGCGUAAAGCGCGCGCAGGCGGUCCCUUAAGUCUGAUGUGAAAUCCCACGGCUCAACCGUGGAAGGUCAUUGGAAACUGGGGGACUUGAGUACAGAAGAGGAAAGCGGAAUUCCAAGUGUAGCGGUGAAAUGCGUAGAGAUUUGGAGGAACACCAGUGGCGAAGGCGGCUUUCUGGUCUGUAACUGACGCUGAGGUGCGAAAGCGUGGGGAGCAAACAGG